Molecule: unclassified non-coding RNA, 338 nt
Filed under: soil metagenome
Description: partial contains 5.8S ribosomal RNA, internal transcribed spacer 2, and large subunit ribosomal RNA
Rfam family: 5.8S ribosomal RNA (bases 1-120)
Source: RNAcentral
GAUGAAGAACGUAGCGAAAUGCGAUAACUAAUGUGAAUUGCAGAAUUCAGUGAAUCAUCGAGUCUUUGAACGCACAUUGCGCCCCCUGGUAUUCCGGGGGGCAUGCCUGUCCGAGCGUCAUUGCUGCCCUCAAGCACGGCUUGUGUGUUGGGCUCCGUCCCCCCGGGGACGGGCCCGAAAGGCAGCGGCGGCACCGAGUCCGGUCCUCGAGCGUAUGGGGCUUUGUCACCCGCUCUGUAGGCCCGGCCGGCGCCAGCCGACAACCCAUCAUCCUUUUCAGGUUGACCUCGGAUCAGGUAGGGAUACCCGCUGAACUUAAGCAUAUCAUAAGCGGAGGA